Molecule: long non-coding RNA, 10074 nt
Filed under: Capsicum annuum
Lineage: Eukaryota; Viridiplantae; Streptophyta; Magnoliopsida; Solanales; Solanaceae
Description: long non-coding RNA (CANN_LNC000736)
Source: RNAcentral
GAUACUGGUCUCUUUGAUUUCAUCGUGAUCUGCCAAGUUGGCUAUUUCAAUUUCUUCUAGAUUGGGUUUUUCGCGAUUCUUAAAUUCCUCCAUAUCUUCAACUAACUGUUCCUUGUCAUCGUCCUUCCGACUAUCAUCGUCCCCUUUAUUUUCUUCGUUUAGGCUUUGACAUGACAGAAUAUUGGCAGGUUUUAAGCUACUGUUACUGUAAUAGACAAACAAACUAAGUUAGAUGAUAAAAAAAGAACAAAAGAUAUGACUAGGAGCGUUUUAGAACUAACAUAGUUUUCCAAAUAAAUAAAGGCCUUUUCAUUAAAAUUUGAGAAAUAAUUACCAAACCAUGGCUUGUGACUUGCACAAAUACAAGCCCCCGCCUUUUUUGAAAGCAGUAAGAUACGAAAAUAAAGUUUUGAGAUAUAAAAGGUGGAUCGCGGGGCCUCCCCCAGAUCAUCACCGAUUUCAAAACUAUUAGUAAUUGUCCUUUCAUCUACCACGACAGGCGACGGGUUAUGAGUGGAGUGGAGGUUUAAUUUUGCAAAGCCUUCCCUGGAGCAAUCUGCUUCACCCCGCUGGACUCUAGGAGAUCUUCUGGUACAGCAUUGCAUCCUUCAAACAAAUCUCCUAUCCAUCCCUAAAACCAUCAUCAUCUAACAUCUCUCGUACGAGAAAUGACUGGAACAGGAGUGGCAAGGGCCUAAACAUACUCUUUUCUGGCUCAUUCUCAACCCUAUAUUUUCUGGUAGGCUGAUACCCUAACCCGUGCUUAGAGCUUCUCUCUGGGAUCAAAAUAGGCUCAAUAAUUCCUUAUAAAUUCUUGCCUAAGCCUCGAUCAAGUUUGAACCGAUUUCUUAAUAUCACAGUUGCAAUCAUUUUGUAGACAGAAGGCAUUGAUAUUUUGGGUGUCGAAUCUCUUUCCGCAGCGUUUACAAUUUCCACUGUAUAGAAACUAAUACCUUUUGGAACAUCUUCAAUCACUGGCACAGAACUAUUGGGACGGUCCGCUCGACUUCCUUCUCUUUGGAUGACUACUUCAUGAUCUUUCCAAAUGAACUUCAAUAAUUGAUGAAGGGGUGAUGAAAUUGCCUUUGCCCCGUGUAUCCAUGGUCUUCCCAAAAAUAGGUUGUAGCUAGGAUGGAUAUCCAUAACAUGAAACUUAGUCUUAAACUCAGCAGGCCCUAUUUGGAUGUGCAAAUCAAUCUCUCCCAUGGUAUCUCUCUGCCCUCCAUCGAAUGCUCUCACAUUUAUGUAGCUUUGACAAAUUUUCCCCCAGAUCAUAGCCCAUUUGGACCAACGUGGAGAGGGGAAAAAUAUUCACACCAGAUUCAUCGUCUAUUAAUACCUGAUUAAUUGUAUAAUCUCGACAAAUGACGAUGACAUGCAUGGCUUUGUUGUGCAUUGCUCCUUCAAACGGCAACUCUUCAUCAUUGAAUGAUAUGCGAUGGUUCCCCACAACGUUCCUUAUCAUCGCAGUCAAAUUCUCAAUGCUCAUUCCUGCGGGAACAUACGCUUUCUCCAAGACCUUCGACAGAGCCUAUCGGUGGUGUUGUGAGCUCAAUAAUAAUGCCAAGAUAGAAAUUUAGGCUGGCGUUUUCUCCAAGUGUUUGACAAUUUAGUAAUCCUUUGGUUGCAUACGCCUCCAAAAUUCCUCAGCCUCUCCUUCAGUGAUAGGCCUUUUCUGUGAAUCUUUCUUGUUGGUCAAUUCCUCAGGGAUGUAACAUCGUCCUAAUCACGUCAUUCCCUGGGCAGCAGCGAUUUGCACAAUAAAUUCCUUUUUUGGAGGGGGAGCGUACACUUGAGUCGGUGCAGUCAUCACUAUAAAUGGGGAUUUCUCAUUGAUACUUAGGGCAGCCAUAAAUUUCUCUAUCUUUCCUACCUCUUUCACCCUUUUGCACUUUUCGAAGUUCACCUGGGUAAUGAUCUUUCCAGAUGCCCAUUCGCCUUCUAUUUCAAUCAUGUUAACUGUAGAUCCCCCAUGGUUGGGCAGUGGAUUACUGAUAAUAGUUGGAGUAGGUGCCUGGAGCGUGAUGACCUUUUGAUUAAUCAGAUCUUGGAUUUUGUGUUUCAAGAUAAGACAGUCCUCGGUACUAUGCCCUGUUGCCCCUGAAUGAUAGGCAUAAUUUUGAUUAGGGUGAUAAAACUGGGAGCUAGGAUUGAUAGGCUUUGGCUGUACUGGUUGCAAAUCACCAACAUUCUUCAAUCUUUCAAACAAUUGGGUGUGACUUUCAACUAGUGAGGUGAAGUUUCGGGGAGGUUUCUUUUCGUGGUUUAGACGCUAGGGGUUAUACGGGCUUAGGUUUGUAGGAGGGGGUACUUGGUGGUAAUUUGGAGGUGUUUGGAAAUUUGUUCAGCUAUUUGGGGAGUAGUUUGGAAAUGAGACUGAUAAUUUAGAGGUGGAACUGGGAAUUGGGGAAAGAUAUUUAGCUGUGGAGCUUGGUAUAAUGGUGGGAUAUUUGGGAGUGGAGUUUGGUAUUGGGGGUGGACGUAGAAUGCGUGCGGAAAGUUAGGUGAUGUCGGGGAAGAUAAAAUGUUUCUAGAGUUGAACCGCUAUUUCAAUUUUGUAACAGAAUUGGCAGAAACCCUACCUACCUCUUCCUUCUUCUUCUUAGAAAAUAUGGCAGUUCCAGAUGAUGUCAGGGUUUUGGCAACUUUUCCUGUUCAAAUACCUUCCUCUAAUGAUUCUCCUAUUUUUACCAAAUCUGCAAAGGUCGCUCUGACAGCGGACACUAUUCUGUUAUAAUAUUCUCCUUCUUGAGCGCGACAGAACACGGAUACCAUUUCCUCCUUGAACAUGAGGGGCUACACUUUGGCAGCUUCUUUCUUCCAAGGAAAAGCAUAAUCUCAAAAACUCUCAAUGCUCUUUUGCUUAAUCCGAUCUAGUGAAUACCAAUCAGGGACUAUUUCAAUGUUGAAUGCAAACUGGUCAAGGAAACUCUUGGCCAAUGUCUUCCAACCAGUCCACCUUUUCAGCUCCUGAGACAUGAACCACUCCAAGGCUUCACCAUUCAAACUUCGACUGAAUAGGCGUAUUAAUAACGCCUCAUUUUUUCCUAUCCCUACUAGUUGAUCGCAGUACCUUCUUAGAUGGGUCAUUGGAUUUCCGGUACCGUCAAACAUCUUAAACUUAGGGACCUUGUAUCCUUCUGGUAGGUCUACUCCUGGGUGAACACACAAAUCGUCAUACCCCAAACCAUCGUGACCAUCGUGGUCCUUGGCCCCAUGAGACUCUUUGAUCCUCAUGAUCUCUUCUUGCACGGCUAGUAAAUUCCUUUCAUGCUGGGCCCUCCAUUCCUUCUCCUUCUCCUUGUAAUGGUCUAUCUCGGGGUUAGGAAGAGGUUCAUAAAUAUCAGGGGAUAUGAUGGCUUGAGGGGGAUUUGGAAGAAAGGCUUGAUUUUGCAGAUGGGGGGAAUUUAGUUGGUAAGUGAGGGGAAUGUUUUAGAAACUGGGAAGGUUAUGUGGGCCUUGUAAGUAGUUUGGCGGAAUAUAAGAGGGAUUUUCCGGAUUUGGAAAUAAAUUUGGUGGAUUCGAAGGUAGGUUUGCCGUAUUUUGUGGAUUUGGGAGUAAAUCUUGCGGAUUUAGGAGUAAAUCUUGUGGAUUUAGGAAUGCGUUUUGUUGAAUUGAGAAUAUGUUUUGAAGAUUUGAGAAUGGAUUCGAAGAUGGGUUCUGUGGGGUUGCGGAUAGAUUUUAUGGAUGGUAGGCGUCUGGAUUAUUUUCACGAUUAGUGUUUUGGACAAAUGGAGGAGCGGAGCCAGAUGAUACAUUAGUUGGUUGGUCCUCAAGAAUAGGGGUACUGAGGGGAGGGAUUUGGAGUGGAGUUCAGUGUCCCCCUAAAGCAGGGGCAUUGACGGUGAUGGCCAAGUUAGCCAAUUCUCGAGUGCGAUUUAUUUCCUCCUGAACCAAUUCUAAUUUUCUUGCAAGUUCCACAAUCAUCUUAUUCUGUUCCACUAUCACAUUAUCUCGGAUAGCCAAUGCGCUUUCUUUGUCAUUUUUUGUCAUUUUUGAAUGAUGGUCUGAGGGUGGGAUUUUUUGUGCUUUCGAUCGGGUGAAGUAGGGAUGUUCUGCCAGUUUAUCAACACUGAGUAAUUUCUAUUAUCUGCAAAGUAAAACAACUCAAAGAAAAAUGUGUUAGUUUCCGUAUGUGAUAAGUAACGCAAAAUAUUUGACUGGAAAUAAUCACACAGAGUUGUUCGAGUCAUAGCCAAAUUCAUCCGUAGUUCAUAGUGGAUAAACUUGCCUUUGAUCUCAACCAACGCAUAUAAGCACAUAAAAUAGUUAUAUCACACAAGACAUUAAAAUAACGCGUAUCCUAAUUUGGGUGAACCUUUAUGAGCUAAGGGUUCAGGCUUAACGAUUUUUUGAAGAAAAUAUAUGCUUCCUCAAAGUCAAAUCCAUUAACCCCUAACUCAUAUAGACACAAAAAGGGCAUAAAUUCCUAUAAAAGAUACCGAAACAGGGAUACAAUUUUUAGGGAAAAGAGGAAAUAACAUGAAAGAAGAUAGGUUCCUGCGCAGGGGAGAAUAGAAAAGCUAGCUACUGGAGGCUUCUUCGUCUGCUUUUGCCUUCUUUGCCUUGUUUACCUCAUGUGCUAUUUGAUACCUAUUGAUGAUAAGGUGACUCCAGCAUAAUUGUGCCUUGCAGUCGUAAGUUAUAUCUCCUAUGCUGUCGAGUUGGGAGGCCAUGCUAUAGUCCAAAUCGAUUAGGCAUUGCCUGGCAUCAUCAGCGUCUUGCCUAGCUCUUUUCAACUCUUCCCUUAAUGUAUGUAUGGUCAAAGCGUCUUCCAUGUGCAUCUGUCGGUGUGCAAUUUCACUUUUCUGGAACUCAUCUUGUAGCCUGUGAAGUCAAAUUUGAUGCUUGGAUUCUACAUCCACAACCCGAGUGGGCACAUUUGGUCCCGGAUUCAAUGCUCCGGCGAGGCUCUUUUUCAACCACUCCUUGUAAGUGUCGCUGACUUCAGGUUCAUACCCUAUACAGAAAGAGACUUCUACCCACUUUUUCCUUCUCCAUGCAUUUAUCAUGUAGUCUUUGAGCGAAGGUUUACUUUCAUCAUAUUCGGUAAAGAAUCUGAGCAUAGAAUCGAUUUGAGGCAUCUCCUGCUUGAUCUCGAAUUGCCUAAGAACUCUGCCAGGAUUGUAGGGGCGGGUUCCCCUGAGACCUGGGAGCACUAAAAAAGGCCAUUCUCUCCCUCGAAUGAUGUAUUUCCCUGAACGUAGUUAAGGGACCAUUGGACAUCGCCUUCUCUUAAUUCUCCAAGAGUAUUAAACCAAAAUUCGUGGGAUGCUUCCCUUUUGAACUUGUGUAAAAAUAACCAUAUGUCAUGCGAUUCUAGCAGAUUUCUCUUUGUUUUGUGAUCAGGUUGUGCCGUUCUAGGAUUUUUCACCAAAUGCAUCAUCAUCCACCAUUGUAAUAUAAGGUUGCAGCCUUGAAAGAAAUGAUUCUCGACUUGACAUCUUCCCAAAGUGCAAUAUAUGUCGGCGACAAUCAUGGGGGGCUAAGUUGUGGAAUACUUUUUUAGAAUUGUAUUCCAUUCCAAAGAAGAGUGCAUGGGUCACUGUGACAAACCUCGGAUGAAUUUUGCCAUUUUCCCCCUGCGGGAACACCAUGGUUCCAAGUAGGCCUACCAUAAAUGCAAAAGCUCUCAUUUCCUUCCAUUUUGCUUCCGACUCCAAUUUAUGCCCAAAUUUGUGAAAAGAGUUGAAUCUUCCGAACUGACGUACAACUCACAAAAAGUGAUAUUUGCUCUAUCCCGUUCUCCUAGCCAGGUGUUGUCAUCAGUUAAAAAUGUUUCCUUGAUCUUUUGACGAUUCCACACAUCUGGGACUAAAAUAUUCUUAUUUGGUGUCUCCUUUCUCUUAAAACACAUUUCCGUACUCUCGUAGCAAAUCAAUACCUCUUCAACGGUGGGGGUCAAUUCAACAUCCCCAAAGCAAAAUAACAUGUUCUGAUCAUCCCAAAAAGCUGUUAGUACAUGGAUCAUUUUGGGCCAAGCGUCCAUCUCGAUCAAAGAAGGAAGAUGCCCAAUGUGUGUUCUAACAAUCUUUCUCUCUUCUAUACCCAUGUAAUCCCACCAUAAUUUCAGGUAAUCGUCGGGUUUGGUGACCAUCUUGAACUUUUCACGAGAAUGCAAUUGAGUCAUAUCUACAUAAAAGAAGACAAAAUAAGCCUUUCCCCAACCCCAAAGGAUAAUGGAUUGAAUUUAGACAAGUAUAUAUUUCUUCAACACAUAAGCAUGGUUAGUCUGUGAUUGAAUCGGGGUCAAAUAGACAUAGGGAAGGUUUUCUAAUGGGCCCAAUACCCCGCUCGGAUAUUGGGUGGUCCUAGGCACAUGCCUAAAAUAGAGUUUUGAUUUCGUUCUAUCCUCGGUGUCUAGAGUGGGCUUGGACACUGGUUCUCAAAUGGACAACUUGAGUUUGAAAAUACGAACAACAUCAGACGACUCAUGUGCUGAUAAGCUGUUCGUAUUUCCAACACAUUUUGGAAUUGAACAACAAGGGCCGGGACAUCCACGAAACCCCAAAACAGUUUAUAAGAUGCAGGAAAUGCCAUGAGAUGCGAUAAUUAAACUUUACAUAAUCGAAACACACAAACAGUUAAUCAAAAAUGAAAUAAAACAUUUGGUUAGAACCUAGUUAGGUCCCUAGCAGAGUCGCCAUUUCUGUUUUGCGGAGAAAUUUUGACUUUUUGAGAAAGUCGCCACUUAAUUUUGAAAAGAAAUUAAGAAACCCUUAUAAAACACUUUAAACGAUCUAAAACAGAAAAAUCAUUUAAGUUAAGAGAUUUUGAGUAAGCGGUUCCUAUUAACAUUUUAUGGAGGUGUUAGGCACCUAAAACGUCCGCUAACUUGCGGUUAUCCGGACUGUUUGAAAAUCGUCUUUGACUAACUUUGAAAAAAAGUUGAUUUCUGCAAAGAAAAGCAAUUUUAGUGAUAUUUUAGUGUUUAUGCAAAACCAGUUUUUAGGCGACUUAGUUAGGGAAUUUAACUAAGUUCGCAAAGAAACAUGUAAAUAAGUAAACGAAAAGAAAAAGGGAGAAAAGUGGGGAAGUAGUGAUUUAGGCUUUCAAGCCCAAACCAUCGGCCCUGUCCUAAUCUAGUUGAGUUUUUGACCUAUUUUCACCUAUCCUAACUCUAUGUUUUUGAGCCUUUUAGCUCGAGUCUCGCUUCACCUGUAUUAAGUAGAAAUUUGACUUCGAAGCCCAAACAAAUAAUUGAAGGAAUAAAUAAAUAUGAAAAAAUAAAUAAUGACGAAAAAUAAAUAAAUAUAAAGGAGACACAGGUCUCGUCGCCGCUUCAAGAAUGGGACUUUAAUCUAUUCUUCUUCUUCGGAGUCAUGUACUAUGAGAUUAUCUCCUUAGGGCCUUCGAAAUCAACUUAUGAAGGAUGGGCCUCAAUGGCCCAUAAUGCAUAUGCAACGAGAAAAGGGCCCGUGUAGGACACGAGCACAUCCAUAUGCAAAAGAAAAGUCAAGCCAUUAAUAUGCAUCCUAAUGUCAAUAUUCAAACAAAUACUGAAUCAUCAUGUGUAAUGAAGACAUAUAAAAUUAACUAACCUUGUAAAUAUUGGCUAAGUUAACUACUGAUAGCAAAACCAACCCAACAAAUGAAAAUAAGUGUCAUAGAAUACUUUUAGCAGUUUUACGAUGAAUCUAAUCCGAUCUAUAGUAAGGUAAACUAAGCAGGCUAUCAAUCAAGCAAGUAAACUUCAAACAAAUUUGGAUUAGUGUAGCAAAACACCCUUAUAGUAGCCUCUGAACAUUCACCUCUUAAUUUUACAUUAAAUCUCCAAAUGAAAUAAACUGGUAAGAGCAUCAUAGACUAAAUAUUCUUGUAGCACAUCUGAAGAUACAAAAUAAAUAAAUAAAAAAUGCUAGAGUUUUCGGAAGGCUGAAAUAAACUCAUGGUUUCGCCUAAACGGACAAUAUAGUGAUAACAUGGCUGAAUUAAAUUCAUACAGGCAAUCCCUAAACUGAUCGGAAAUAAAUUGAAGAUUUUGAACAAAUUCUUCCCUUUACCAGAUUUAAUUCAUCACAAGAUCUUAUUAUUUGACUUGGAAAUGAUACAGUGAUUCAGCAUAGGGAUUUAAGCAUAUAAAGGGACUCUAAUAGGAUUUCCAUCUCUCUUUGACUGGUUAUUUAAAACCAUGUGUCCAAGGUCAUUGAGAUGUCAUCAACCUCACAACUUUAUUUCAUGAAUAAAUCCAUUUUUUCCCAUGGAUAUCGAAUUAAGGGCCCUAAUGGACCAUCAUUUUACGUAUAAUCACAGAGACAAAACAUGAGAGGGGCACGUGGAUAGACGAAGAUAAAAUGGGUAAACUUAUUAGGACCCCGUUGGGCAAAUAAAAUAAUGGAGACUAAUAGAAACAAGCAUAAACAUGGCUGAUUCUAGGCAGCAAAAAUAAGCAAAUAUUUUUUACAACAAUUGUGCGGCAUACGGUGAGUGAUUGCGGACAGAUAGAUAGUAAUCCUACGGUGAAUGACUUGCCUUAUGAAUCUUUGCUAACAUCAUUACAGUGGUGAUAAAAAUGAAUAGACGACACACAGAUUCGAAAAUGGCACAUAAUGGCUUUAGAUGUUUGUGAGAGAAAAAGAGGAAAAAAUAAAUAAAUUUGGGAAUAAAUAGCUUUAAGGGGGAAACAGAUACAAACAAAUCUCAUUUAGGGGUAAAUCCGAAAUGUAAUCUAAUAAACCAUGCUAAACAAAUUUUAAACAAUUUUUUGCAAGCUAAGACUUUUAAUACAACCAAAUCAAGGAAAUUAAACACUGUUAGGAUACUCAACAUAAGGAGGAAUAUUCAACAUCACGAGCGAUAAUCACUUGAAAAAGAAGAAAAUAAAAACCUAAGGCGUUCAACAGCUUCUACAGCAACAAAUCUCACCUCAUUCAUGCUUACGACUAAACUAAUGUUGCCACAAAGAAGAGAGACGAAGAAGGAAACAAUAGAUUAAAAGUUGAAGGAGUGGAUUUACCUCUUUAAAAGCAGCAAACGGGACUCGAACCUAUAACAAAAGCUCAACCACCACCACUAGAAGGUUUUUGAAGAGAGGUUUGUUCACUCGAACCCAGAUAGCUCAGAAAAGAUUUUUCCUUCUUCAGAUUUUCCCAACCCUAGAACCUCUUUCGGGGCAGCAAACGGGGCGAUGAUCUAUCAGCAAACUUGUCGCUACCAGAACUCGCGACGUCGACCACCAACAGAGUGUUCUUUUGCUUUUUCCUCUUAGAAAUUUUAAAACCUCCCAGAUUUUCAACUAAGACUUUCAACUUGAAUUAAAAAAAAAUCCAAAAAAUUUUCCUCUCUCUGUUUCUGAAUCAAAAACUCACUCAAAAAAUUUCCCUUUUCAACCCUCGAAUCUCUCCCUAGCAAUUUCAAAAACCUAAAAUUUCUAAGAAACAGAAUUUGAGUUCCCAAAUCUUUUUCUAAACAAUCAAAUUUCUGACCCUUUUUCUUAAUUCCCCAAUUUUGAGACUCUAAUUUUCGAACACAGACUUUCGAACCAGCCUAAAAAAAGUUUUUUCUUCUUCAGUUCUUUUUUUUUUUUCAAAACCUAGAAUCUCUAACCCUUAAUUUUUUUCCCCUUUCUUGCUCUAAAGAGGACUACUUAUAGAAGGGAUUGAGGGUUAAAUUUUUGAAAUUCAAAAGAUCAAGGCCCUAACAAAUUGUAACCCCCUAUUUUUGGAUUUUUUCUUCAACAAAUCUGAAAUUAUGGACCAAUAACAAUCGGGAGAAAAUCAAAUCAUACCCCAAACCAAUGAAAAUCAACCAGAUAGGUACGAAUUCGUACCAUGGUACCCAAGAUUCACGGAUUCGUACCUUGGAUGAUCACACCUAAUCGAUAUUCUAGAAUGAUCUCAAGCCUUCUUUGCAGAAACUCGCAUGAGAUGCGUGGAGAAGGGUUGGGUCAAAUCAAUUUCAUGACUUUUGGGUUGAGGUCGAGAUGACGAUAUUGAAGGUGUCUGAUGUUGAUCGAUGUUGUUGGGGAUGGGUUUCAGAGCUGGGUCAGGUUCAAGGUGGUUGGGUUGGGUUCGUGGUGUUGUCGAUGAAGGAGGUUGUCGUGAUUUGGAAUUGUGCAUAUGCUGUUGGUGUUGC